Hevea brasiliensis (rubber tree) is the source of this 1158-nucleotide long non-coding RNA. RefSeq lists it as uncharacterized. The transcript has 3 exons. Lineage: Eukaryota; Viridiplantae; Streptophyta; Magnoliopsida; Malpighiales; Euphorbiaceae. The record is from RefSeq and is a predicted model, not a curated record.
UAUUCACAGUGAACCGUGGGGCCUCUCCUCUAAUUCCACUUUCUAUUAUAAGUGCUACCUAUUUGAAUUCUUUGCACAUUAACUCUCCAAAACACAUUCACGGCUUGCAUUAGAUACCAGAAUUGAUCCACCUGAGUUUUUUAAGUUGUGUGGAUUCCUAUUUGUUCGUCCAGCAAAAGCAAGAAUCUUAUUCCAGGAUAUAAGAGGAAUUUUUCUGACUUGGAUUAGGGGAAUCCACUCUCUCUGUUGUGUUGAGAGCUUCACCCUCUCAUUCUCAUGGAAGAUUCUCAGAUUUAUUAUAUCUCUGUUCCUCUCCUUGGUCUCAGAGGUUUUCUUUCAGUUGUCAUCGUACGUGGUGAAACUAGUCAUAUUAUAUAAUCGGAUUUUAAUUGAAUGUUAACUAUACCACAGGUAGUAGAUGGGGACAUGAAAUAUUGUUUUAACUGGUUGUAUUUGGAGAAUGUAGAGGAAGAUUCUGUUGACUGGAGCACAUGAAAGCUUUGGAAUUAGAUACAAAACAAGAAAAAGAAAAAAAAAAUGAUGGAAAGAUGCUUGUCCUUGGACAUUGUUUGAAGGCAAGGAAUGGAAUAAGGAAUACAUUCUCUUUUGUUUCCUUCAGUAAGUUUGGUACUUAUUCAGCCCACAUAGUAUAAAAUAGAAGAGGGGCCCAAUUCUUUUUUCAUUAUCAAUUGGCAUAAGAUAGCCGGCGCUGCACCAACGAAUCCUAAUCAUCUGGGACCCAAUUAAAAGAAAAGAGAAGGAUUGUACUUGCUUCCAUAUUUACAUUUGAUGAAAGAAAAGACAAUUCUUGCCCUGGAGAUGACUACCUGCCCUUGACUCCUGCCUCUAUUGGCUAGAUUCUCUUCACCAAAAGCCAUGCAUGUGUCAACUGCAUGUUCUGGAUGCUUAUGCUGUUGUAUUGAAUUUCAAUGAAGGAUCUGUUCUUGAGGAAUAAACUGAAACUAAAUUUAACCGAACUCAACUGCUAUGGGUGAGGUCCCACCCAGAUAUUUAACCCAAUGCAAUCUUUUCUUCUCAUUUUUCCCUCUACCUUUUCAAGAAUAUUUCUUUCAAACCACUAACUUGAGAACAUUUUUUUAACCUUUUAGGAAUUGUUCCUCUAUAUUGAUGCUUAUGAUGAUGCAACAAUGCUGUUUG